GACGAACGCUGGCGGCGCGCUUAACACAUGCAAGUCGAACGGAAAGGCCUGCUUUCCCUUGUGGAUUGCGGGUACUCGAGUGGCGAACGGGUGAGUAACACGUGAGUGAUCUGCCCCCAACUUGGGUAUAAGCCUGGGAAACUGGGUCUAAUUCCCGAUAGGACUGCAGGGUGGUGCCUGUGGUGGAAAACGAUUUUCUAGUGGUUGGGGAUGAGCUCGCGGCCUAUCAGCUUGUUGGUGGGGUAAUGGCCUACCAAGGCGGCGACGGGUAGCCGGCCUGAGAGGGUGGACGGCCACAUUGGGACUGAGAUACGGCCCAGACUCCUACGGGAGGCAGCAGUGGGGAAUAUUGCACAAUGGGCGGAAGCCUGAUGCAGCGACGCCGCGUGGGGGGUGACGGCCUUCGGGUUGUAAACUCCUUUCGACCGCGAGGAAGCCACCUGGUUGGAAGGGUGGCGACGGUAGUGGUAGAAGAAGCACCGGCUAACUACGCG
RNAcentral lists this ribosomal RNA (494 nucleotides) under uncultured bacterium. Its description in RNAcentral is "partial 16S ribosomal RNA". It matches the Rfam family "Bacterial small subunit ribosomal RNA", at positions 28 to 507 of the family's 1533-position model. The record is from RNAcentral.